This 643-nucleotide ribosomal RNA is filed under the name uncultured prokaryote. RNAcentral's name for it is "bacterial SSU rRNA". It matches the Rfam family "Bacterial small subunit ribosomal RNA", at positions 28 to 689 of the family's 1533-position model. The record is from RNAcentral.
GAUGAACGCUGACAGAAUGCUUAACACAUGCAAGUCGAUUCGAUUUACCUUCGGGUAUUGAGGAUGGCGGACGGGUGAGUAACGCGUAAGGAACUUGCCUCUUGGUCUGGGACAACUGUUGGAAACGACAGCUAAUACCGGAUAUUAUGAGAUUCUCGCAUGGGAAACUUAUGAAAGCUAUAUGCGCCAAGAGAGAGCCUUGCGUUCCAUUAGCUAGUUGGUGGGGUAACGGCCCACCAAGGCGACGAUGGAUAGCCGGCCUGAGAGGGUGAACGGCCACAAGGGGACUGAGACACGGCCCUUACUCCUACGGGAGGCAGCAGUGGGGGAUAUUGGACAAUGGGCCACAAGCCUGAUCCAGCAAUUCUGUGUGCACGAUGAAGGUCUUCGGAUUGUAAAGUGCUUUCAGUUGGGAAGAAGAAAGUGACGGUACCAACAGAAGAAGCGACGGCUAAAUACGUGCCAGCAGCCGCGGUAAUACGUAUGUCGCAAGCGUUAUCCGGAUUUAUUGGGCGUAAAGCGCGUCUAGGCGGAAAAAUAAGUCUGAUGUUAAAAUGCGGGGCUCAACUCCGUAUUGCNUUGGAAACUGUUUUUCUAGAGUACUGGAGAGGUGGGCGGAACUACAAGUGUAGAGNUGAAAUUC